UACGGGGGGGGCAAGCGUUGUUCGGAAUUACUGGGCGUAAAGGGCUCGUAGGCGGCCAACUAAGUCAGACGUGAAAUCCCCAGGCUCAACCUGGGAACUGCGUCUGAUACUGGUUGGCUUGAAUCCGGGAGAGGGAUGCAGAAUUCCAGGUGUAGCGGUGAAAUGCGUAGAUAUCUGGAGGAAUACCGGUGGUGAAGGCGGCUUUCUGGACUGCUGCUGACGCUGAUACACGAAAGCGUGGGGAGCAAACAGG
This 253-nucleotide ribosomal RNA is filed under the name uncultured bacterium. RNAcentral describes it as "partial 16S ribosomal RNA". It matches the Rfam family "Bacterial small subunit ribosomal RNA", at positions 524 to 776 of the family's 1533-position model. The record is from RNAcentral.